AAAGUGCAAAAAUCUAAACAUGUACUUUCCAAGCUUUGAGAGAGAGAUUGUUGGGGACGAGUUAAGUGUUUUCAGUUUAUGGCAAUGAUUUGUGAGGCUAUGAAAAAGAAAGCGGCUAUGAAAUACAUUUUUGCAUAAAGGUUUGAAAUGUAUUAGAAGGUAAAAAUAAUUGAAAAAGCAGAGCUUUCCUCAGUGGGUUAUAAUAAAAAGUUAUUUAUGUGCCAUCAGUGUGCAUGUUUAGGAGCUUGGGUCCUUCUCAGAGGCUGUUCUCAAAGAAACAGGAAGGAAGCAAAGCUAUUAAAGCUAUUCCAUUGAAAAAGCUGACAUACAUACACAGUAAUUCUGACAACUGGGCCGUAUUAAAACAAUUGGUAAUAAUAGUCAAAUUGCUGGUGUCUGAUUUCUCUUAUAAAAGCUUAAUAGGUACACACUGUAGGCAGCUGUUUGCAAAAUCUGCCAACCUUGCCCUUGGUAUAAUAGAAUGGUAGACUCAGGAAGUAGUAUUCAUUUACCUGAGUUCCAUUAAGACCUUCACUGUGGGGUUUAAACAUUCAGCCCUAAUCUUAGAAUUCACCUGCCAUAUAGUAUCUCAUAAAGCUCUUUGAGAUCGUUGGCCAAAAGAGAAGGCACAAAGCCUCUAUUAAUGUUCAUUUAGCGGAAGUGCCCUCCCACUUAUAAUGGUAUAUAUCAUAUAUUAUCUUACCAUAUCCUUUCAGUUCUCAAAAGUGAACUUUGGGACGUGAAAUGAUGCCGGGCAGGCGUCCAGCGGACUGUUUCACGACAAAGCAAGAAAAGAUCCAUUUUUGAAUCUCUGCUUUACUCAUAUUCUUCAGCCUUCUGAGAAGCAACUCUUCUCUCCUCUCCUUGGUAGACAGCCUGCUAAUUUGCAGUGGGAAUUAUUGGUGCCUUUGAAUGUUGACCACCUUGUCAGUUUCAUCUGUUCUGGGUAGAGCUUAGAGUUUUAGGUAGUGAAAGGAAGAUGGAAAGAUUUAAUGAGUCUUUUGAGACAUUCCCUAUGAACACAUUCAGGGGGAAAGAUGGUAAUAACCUAGUCCAGAGUUCCAGUUUUAAUGGAGUGUCUUUAGUUUGAUGACAGACUGAAUUUGCCUCUAGAUUUUCUGUCUUCUUUGUUCAUCAGGAAUUCCAAUGCUCAAGAUCGUGUUUGCAGGCCACGAGCACCUCUCUCUAAUAUCUGUGCCCCUGCUCAUAUACCACCCAGUUCAGAUCCUUCUGGGAAGUGUGUUGGUGCCAACAAUAAAGUCUUGGAUGGUGUCAAGGCAGAAGGGAGUGAAGUUGACGAGGCCAACAGUGUAAGAAGGGAGGCACUCUUCAUGCAGCGAUGUAUAUAUGUGCAGGAUUGCACAUGCAGACAGUUCUGAGGGCUUGUACUUGGGAAUGUUGCUUCGAUGCAUAUUUUAUUUUUUUACACAAAAAUAUGAUAUAACAGUUUAAGUGCCUUAAAAUGUGUUUGACAGGAGCGUUAUUUCCAAAACCUACUUUGUUGGUUACUGCCAGGGAUGGUACCAUAUUUUGGAGAGGUUUAAUUUUUUUUUCCCAAGCACGGGAAACCAUGAUCGUGACAAAAAGCAAACAUGCUCCCCUCGUACCACCUUGGGUGCAAUACAACCCUUCACUAGUUACUGUGCUGUUUGAAAUGAGGUCACACCGUCAGGAAAAUCCCUUCUGAUGACAGUGAAAAUUUCCAGUCUUAUUCAUGAAUACUUUGAUUUACUGUGUGAUUCUUUGUUUCUACAACUGUGACAUGUCUCUUCCUUAUCAGCUCAGCAGGGGUCAUGGAUUGCAUAGAUGCAGAAAGGCGUAAGUUAUCUGCAUUUCUUGACAUCAUUUUUUAGACAUUCCUUCAGAUAGUUUCCACACAGAAAUUCCUCAGUCCCAUUAUGAGAUUGUGGUGUUAUAUGUCUUAAAUUUAUUAUAAGCUGCUUCAAAGAGAGAGCCUGAUGUUUGAGUUAGAAGUAAGUGAAGUUUUGAGGUAAACUACAGGACUUGUAUUCAGGAUUUUUAAAAUUUUCAUUUAUUUUCCCUUUUUCCGCCAUAAUUUCUUUCUUAACUGUUUUCCAGCACACUUGCCAACUCCUAACAGCCAAAUGUGAGAUGUAAAAAUGUUACAGUCAGUUUGAGAACAGCAACAGUUAAUGAUGGAUUAUAUUCACAUUCCACAACUGAAACCAAAAUUUUUUCUUGUUACACAGAUGUCUGAGCACAAAUUGCCCCUUUUAGCCAGAAGCAGCCUGUUUCAUCCCUGAAUUAAGCACACUUAAAGGCAUUUGAGACAAGUUAUUAAUGAAAAUUUCCUUGGCAGAUUUGACAAAUGUUUGCAACAAUUUCUUAAAAUUAAAUCAUAUUGUUCUUAUGAAUAAAUAAAAAUAUAAAGGUCAUGGACACAAACAAAUGUUACAUAUACACAUUCUGUCUAGCCAGAUGGAAAGAAAAAUGGGCACAGAAAAUGCAAAACCAUUCAUUAACCAAAAGAUCAAAUAAAACAAGUCCCCAGUUGGGCAUCAGCUUUCAAAGGAGAAUUCAAUCUUUGCUUCCACUGUGGCUGGACGAACUUUCACUGGACCCAAAUAGAGAAGAAAGCGAUAUAGAGAAUUAAAGGACACUGUUCCUCUGUUUCCUGCCCAGCAUUCUGUCACGUCCUCUCUGCAUGUCCUCUCUUGAUUUCACAGACAGUAUCGGCAUCCUGGGUCACACUGACGCUGACUCUGUGGUCAGCAACGGAAAAGAUCCUUCCUUAGAAACUUACCAGGUUUAUCAGUAGCGUAAAUUCAUAUUAUCGUCACAACCCGGUCUCAUCUCGUGUUCCUUCUGACCAUUUCAAUAUUACUGAACCUCAUAAAUUUCACAAGAGUUAUCCUCAGUGUAAAUUUUAAGGCUAGCACCAGACUCUGCAAAAAUCUGUGGUGAACAGGCUGUUUGUCAAGAAUUUCACUUAUAUCUAAAACUCCAGUAAUUUCGAUGCUCACGAAUGGAGCACAGAAAGGUUUUCAUGUUUUGUUCCUACAAGUUUCUUGGAAUUUCAGAGGCAAUGGGGUUGUCUGUCUGAGCUAUAAAAAUCUUUCUCCCUAGCAUUAGAAUACUGAUUUUUUUCUCCCCAACUUAUCUACCUCUAUUGUCUAACACCUACAGUAGGUGUGAUUAUGGGAUAAGGUUCAACUGAAAAUGCUAUAACAUGCUUUAAAAAACAUGUUUUGUUUUCAAAUAAUCUCUACAUAGUGCAUUUUGAUGGCUUUAGUGAUACGUUUAUGCCUAUUUCUUUUUUUACACAGUUACUGUGGUGUAUUUUUCCAUAAAGAAUUAAAAAAUAAAAUCAAAAUUUAUUUGUAAGUCAUGCUUAUUGGGAUUUAAUUAUUCACCUCAAAAUAUUUUAUUAUUGUGUUAUGCACUGUCAGGCUAUCCGUUUAUGCAUUUUUUUUUGUCUAAAUGUAUUUAUGAAGGAAAUACAUUAGAUUAUGUUUACUCAUUUUUCCACUUGGUUUUUUUUAAGUGGUUGUUACGAAAUUUGAUUUUUUUAAAUGGGUGAUAAUGUUAAUCUUUUCAUGUGUUCUUUUCUAAGUUUUAAAUUCUGUAUUUUUUUAAAAUUCCCUAUUCUGUUUAAAACUAACACACCUCUGGCUAAUGUUCAGUGUUUGUUUAUGCUAAAUACCAAAUUUUUACAAAAGGACUGGUGAAAUAAUAAAGUGGAUUAUUUAUGAUGAAUGGAAGAUGGAAAUAAUUCUAUGAUUAAACAAAGAGAUGUUUCAGAAAUCA
Molecule: non-coding RNA, 3768 nt
Organism: Leptonychotes weddellii (Weddell seal)
Lineage: Eukaryota; Metazoa; Chordata; Mammalia; Carnivora; Phocidae
Source: RefSeq, a predicted model, not a curated record